This 68-nucleotide transfer RNA is filed under the name Galago senegalensis (Senegal galago). Its description in RNAcentral is "tRNA-Gly". The record is from RNAcentral. Lineage: Eukaryota; Metazoa; Chordata; Mammalia; Primates; Galagidae. RNAcentral also lists the same sequence under 1 other name.
ACUCCUUUAGUAUAAUCAGUACAAUUGACUUCCAAUCAAUAAGAUUCGGACGGAACCGAAAAAGAGUA